UACGGGGGGGGCAAGCGUUGUUCGGAAUUACUGGGCGUAAAGGGCUCGUAGGCGGCCAACUAAGUCAGACGUGAAAUCCCUCGGCUUAACCGGGGAACUGCAUCUGAUACUGGAUGGCUUGAGUUUGGGAGAGGGAUGCGGAAUUCCAGGUGUAGCGGUGAAAUGCGUAGAUAUCUGGAGGAACACCGGUGGCGAAGGCGGCAUCCUGGACCAACACUGACGCUGAGGAGCGAAAGCCAGGGGAGCAAACGGG
Molecule: ribosomal RNA, 253 nt
Filed under: uncultured bacterium
Lineage: Bacteria
Description: partial 16S ribosomal RNA
Rfam family: Bacterial small subunit ribosomal RNA
Source: RNAcentral